GAUUAACGCUGGCGGCGUGCAUAACACAUGCAAGUCGAACGAUGAAACUUUAAUGACCCCUUCGGGGAGAAUUAAAGCGGCUUAGUGGCGAACGGGUGAGUAACGCGUGAGUAACCUGCCUUACACAAGGGGAUAGCCUUUGGAAACGAAGAAUAAUACCCUAUAAAACCAUAAAAGCACAUGCAAUUAUGGUCAAAGUGAUAGCGGUGUAAGAUGGACUUGCGUCUGAUUAGCUAGUUGGUGAGAUAAAAGCCCACCAAGGCAACGAUCAGUAGCCGGAUUGAGAGAGUGUACCGCCACAUUGGGACUGAGACACGGCCCAGAAUCCUACGUGAGGCAGCAGUGGGGAAUUGUGCACAAUGGGGGAAACCCUGAUGCAGCGACGCCGCGUGAUUUAGAAGGCCUUCGGGUUGUAAAAAUCUUUUGUAUAGGAAGAAAAUGACAGUACUAUACGAAUAAGGUCCGGCUAAUUACGUG
RNAcentral lists this ribosomal RNA (477 nucleotides) under uncultured bacterium. RNAcentral describes it as "partial 16S ribosomal RNA". It matches the Rfam family "Bacterial small subunit ribosomal RNA", at positions 28 to 507 of the family's 1533-position model. The record is from RNAcentral.